AUACGGAGGAUCCGAGCGUUAUCCGGAUUUAUUGGGUUUAAAGGGUGCGCAGGCGGGAGAUUAAGUCGGCGGUGAAAUUUUUCAGCUCAACUGUAAAAGAGCCUUCGAAAAUGGGUUUCUUGAGUGUAGAUGAAGUAGGCGGAAUUUGUGGUGUUGCCGUGAAAUGCAUAGAUAUCACGAGGAAAUCCGAAUGCGCAGGCAGCUUACUAAACUACUACUGACGCUCAGGCACGAAGGCGUAGGGAACAAACAGGAUUAGAUACCCUGGUAGUCCACGCAGUAAACGAUGAUUACUAGCUGUUUGCGAUACAAUGUAAGCGGCUGAGCGAAAGCGUUAAGUAAUCCACCUGGGGAGUACGUUCGCAAGAAAGAAACUCAAAUAAAUUUACGGGG
Molecule: ribosomal RNA, 393 nt
Filed under: uncultured bacterium
Lineage: Bacteria
Description: partial 16S ribosomal RNA
Rfam family: Bacterial small subunit ribosomal RNA
Source: RNAcentral